GACGAACGCUGGCGGCGUGCUUAACACAUGCAAGUCGAGCGGUAAGGCCUUUCGGGGUACACGAGCGGCGAACGGGUGAGUAACACGUGGGUGAUCUGCCCUGCACUUCGGGAUAAGCCUGGGAAACUGGGUCUAAUACCGGAUAUGACUCAGGUUGCAUGACUUGGGGUGGAAAGAUUUAUCGGUGCAGGAUGGGCCCGCGGCCUAUCAGCUUGUUGGUGGGGUAAUGGCCUACCAAGGCGACGACGGGUAGCCGACCUGAGAGGGUGACCGGCCACACUGGGACUGAGACACGGCCCAGACUCCUACGGGAGGCAGCAGUGGGGAAUAUUGCACAAUGGGCGAAAGCCUGAUGCAGCGACGCCGCGUGAGGGAUGACGGCCUUCGGGUUGGAAACCUCUUUCAGCAGGGACGAAGCGCAA
This 422-nucleotide ribosomal RNA is filed under the name Rhodococcus erythropolis. RNAcentral's name for it is "bacterial SSU rRNA". It matches the Rfam family "Bacterial small subunit ribosomal RNA", at positions 28 to 455 of the family's 1533-position model. Lineage: Bacteria; Bacillati; Actinomycetota; Actinomycetes; Mycobacteriales; Nocardiaceae. The record is from RNAcentral.